This 1400-nucleotide ribosomal RNA is filed under the name uncultured bacterium. RNAcentral describes it as "bacterial SSU rRNA". It matches the Rfam family "Bacterial small subunit ribosomal RNA". The record is from RNAcentral.
UUAGAGUUUGAUCCUGGCUCAGGAUGAACGCUAGCGGCAGGCUUAACACAUGCAAGUCGAGGGGCAGCGAGAUCAGUGCUUGCACUGAUUGUCGGCGACCGGCGCACGGGUGCGUAACGCGUAUGCAACCUACCCAUUACAGGGGGAUAACACUGAGAAAUCGGUACUAAUACCCCAUAACAUCCAGGGAGGCAUCUUCUUGGGUUGAAAACUCCGGUGGUAAUGGAUGGGCAUGCGUUGUAUUAGUUAGUUGGUGGGGUAACGGCUCACCAAGACAACGAUACAUAGGGGGACUGAGAGGUUAACCCCCCACAUUGGUACUGAGACACGGACCAAACUCCUACGGGAGGCAGCAGUGAGGAAUAUUGGUCAAUGGACGCAAGUCUGAACCAGCCAUGCCGCGUGCAGGAAGACGGCUCUAUGAGUUGUAAACUGCUUUUGUACGAGGGUAAACGCAGAUACGCGUAUCUGUCUGAAAGUAUCGUACGAAUAAGGAUCGGCUAACUCCGUGCCAGCAGCCGCGGUAAUACGGAGGAUUCAAGCGUUAUCCGGAUUUAUUGGGUUUAAAGGGUGCGUAGGCGGUCGGAUAAGUUAGAGGUGAAAUCCCGGGGCUCAACUUCGGAAUUGCCUCUGAUACUGUUCGGCUAGAGAGUAGUUGCGGUAGGCGGAAUGUAUGGUGUAGCGGUGAAAUGCUUAGAGAUCAUACAGAACACCGAUUGCGAAGGCAGCUUACCAAGCUACUUCUGACGUUGAGGCACGAAAGCGUGGGGAGCAAACAGGAUUAGAUACCCUGGUAGUCCACGCAGUAGACGAUGAUAACUCGUUGUCGGCGAUACAGUGUCGGUGACUAAGCGAAAGCGAUAAGUUAUCCACCUGGGGAGUACGUUCGCAAGAAUGAAACUCAAAGGAAUUGACGGGGGCCCGCACAAGCGGAGGAACAUGUGGUUUAAUUCGAUGAUACGCGAGGAACCUUACCCGGGCUUGAAAGUUAGUGACGGAUCUUGAAAGAGGUCUUCCCUUCGGGGCACGAAACUAGGUGCUGCAUGGUUGUCGUCAGCUCGUGCCGUGAGGUGUCGGGUUAAGUCCCAUAACGAGCGCAACCCCUACCGUUAGUUGCCAGCAGGUCAAGCUGGGCACUCUGACGGGACUGCCGGUGUAAGCCGAGAGGAAGGUGGGGAUGACGUCAAAUCAGCACGGCCCUUACGUCCGGGGCUACACACGUGUUACAAUGGCAGGUACAGAGGGCAGCUACCCAGCGAUGGGAUGCGAAUCUCGAAAGCCUGUCUCAGUUCGGAUUGGAGGCUGAAACCCGCCUCCAUGAAGUUGGAUUCGCUAGUAAUCGCGCAUCAGCCAUGGCGCGGUGAAUACGUUCCCGGGCCUUGCACUCACCGCCCGUCAAG